RNAcentral lists this ribosomal RNA (324 nucleotides) under uncultured eukaryote. RNAcentral's name for it is "partial 18S ribosomal RNA". It matches the Rfam family "Eukaryotic small subunit ribosomal RNA", at positions 1470 to 1796 of the family's 1831-position model. The record is from RNAcentral.
CCCUUAGAUGCUCUGGGCCGCACGCGCGCUACACUGGUCGAUGCAACGAGUUUCUUUCCUUGGCCGACAGGCCUGGGCAAUCUUUGAACAUCGAUCGUGAUCGGGAUAGAUUCUUGUAAUUUUUGAUCUUAAACGAGGAAUUCCUAGUAAACGCAAGUCAUCGGCUUGCAUUGAUUACGUCCCUGCCCUUUGUACACACCGCCCGCCGCACCUACCGAUUGAAUGGUCCGGUGAAAUCUCCGGACUGGCGUGAGUCGGAGCAAUCUGACAAACACCGGAAAGUUGAUUAAACCUUACCAUUUAGAGGAAGGUGAAGUCGUAACA